UUCGAAGAUACGCGAAGAACCUUACCUAGCCUUGACAUUGAUUGAACACUUUAGAGAUAGAGUGGUGCCCUUCGGGGAACAUGAAAACAGGUGCUGCACGGCUGUCGUCAGCUCGUGUCGUGAGAUGUUGGGUUAAGUCCCGCAACGAGCGCAACCCUCGUCCUUAGUUGCCAGCAGGUUAUGCUGGGCACUCUAAGGAGACUGCCUUCGCAAGGAGGAGGAAGGUGAGGACGACGUCAAGUCAUCAUGGCCCUUAUGGCUAGGGCUACACACGUGCUACAAUGGGGCGUACAGAGUGUUGCGAUACCGCGAGGUGGAGCUAAUCACUUAAAGCGUCUCUCAGUUCGGAUUGGAGUCUGCAACUCGACUCCAUGAAGCUGGAAUCACUAGUAAUCGUAGAUCAGCAAUGCUACGGUGAAUACGUUCCCGGGUCUUGUACUCACCGCCCGUCACACCAUGGGAGUUGAUUUCACCCGAAAUUGGGAAGCUAACCUUCGGGAGGCUACCA
This 508-nucleotide ribosomal RNA is filed under the name uncultured bacterium. Its description in RNAcentral is "bacterial SSU rRNA". It matches the Rfam family "Bacterial small subunit ribosomal RNA", at positions 950 to 1455 of the family's 1533-position model. The record is from RNAcentral.